Molecule: long non-coding RNA, 1909 nt
Filed under: Piliocolobus tephrosceles (Ugandan red Colobus)
Lineage: Eukaryota; Metazoa; Chordata; Mammalia; Primates; Cercopithecidae
Description: lncRNA (ENSPTEG00000007025.1)
Source: RNAcentral
UAAUACAUGCAAUAGUAAUAAUUUGUAUUAUCAUGACGUUAUAUAUAACACAAAUACUAGCUCAGAAAAAAUAUUUGAUAUUGUUCAAAAUACUAGUGUUACUGAUACUGAUACUUCUACUACUGAUAGUGCUACUACUGAUAGUGCUACUACAGAUAGUGCUACUAUAGAUACGGCUACUAUAGAUACGGCUACUAUAGAUACGGCUACUAUAGAUACGGCUACUACAGAUACGGCUAUUACAGAUACGGCUAUUACAGAUACGGCUACUAAUAAUAACAACAAUGUUAGCUAUAAUAAUUAUUAUUACCAAAAAUGCCAUGAUUUAAAUUUGAUCAAUCGGUUUUAUUGUCCUAAUUUUAAAAGUAAUAAAGAUAUGUCAAAUAAUUCAUUUUUUAAUUGUGGAGGGGAAACUAAUAGUGAUGAUUAUACAGAUGCAGAUCGCUUAAUAACAAAACAUGCGAUAUGCGAUUUCCUAACCAAAAGCAAUAACAAAUUAAUAAAAAUAAAAUAUAAUAACAUGACUAAGGAGAGUGCCAGUGUGAAUAAAAACGAUAAUAAUAUGUAUAAUGAAUAUUUCCCAUACAUGCAAAACAUUACAAAUAACAGCAACUAUCAUUUUGUGUAUGAUAUAGACAAUUUAAAUAAUUAUAACGAAACUAACAAACUGUUUACUACUCAGCUUGACAACCAAAAUUUACAAUACAGUGAUGAACAUGCUAUAAAAUUAAAUAACUUUUGCAAUUUAGGUGAUAAUGACGGCAACAUGUAUAGCAACAGCAGACUAAGAAAGAACGGAUUUAGCAACAGUGGGUUUAACAAUAAUAUGCUUAGAAGUAGUAGUUUACAUAAAUCAACAACACCACGCAAACACAAUUCCAAUACAAAUAAUAAUACUACUAGCCAUGAUUUUGAAUUAAAAGACUUAUAUAUAUCUAAAAAGAAAUAUAAAAAUGUAAAUGUUCAUAAUAAAAAUAUACAUUUUCGAGCAUUACGUAAUUCGAGAAUAUAUAAUAAAAAAAAUAGAAAGUCAAUAAGUAACAAUAAUAAUAGUAGUAAUAAUUAUAUUAUUGGUCGUAGUAACAAUGAAAAAAGGUUAACAUAUUCAGAAAACUUAAGCUCUAAAAAAGAUAUUAAUAAAACACCAAAUAAAAAUGAUAUUUUUAUUAAUAAUGAUUUAAAUAAUUGUCCUACUUAUUUUGGUGAGCAAGCUUAUACUGUUUCGCCUACAUCUAUGGAUGUGGAAUUUUUUAAAAAUUAUAUAAAUCAAAACAAUGUAGUAAAUAAUAAUAACAGGUCUACUGUUACUACUACUACUACUACUACUUGUAGUAAUAAUAAUAUUAGUAAUACUAAUAAUACUAUUAUUAGUAGUGAUAAUAACUACAAUUUUACUGAUCGUUUUUAUACAACCAAUAAUUUUAUGCAAACAGAUAAUAACAUAAACAUUUAUUCAAACACAUUAAAUGAUAUUGAUAAUGAACGAAAUUACACUUUUAAACACACAUAUAAUAUGGAUGAUAAUAUAAAUAUCCACAACUUAUUAGAGAACUUCGACCUAAGCAACAGUUCAAUCAUGCGUGAUGAUAUAUCUUUACCUUAUUACAAUAAAAAUGAUAUGAAUUCCAUGAAAUCAUCGGUUUUGUUUAAUACAAUUAAAAAAAAUGAAAACGGCAUCAACAGUUAUUUUAAAAAUGAAACCCUAAGCAACAGUGUCCCAUGUAGUAACAAUAUGUACAACAUGGAUACACACAAUAGCAUUACCAGUAAUAGUAGUUCUAACAAUGGUCGUGAUUACAACUUUGAUACGUGGAUAAAUAAUAAUUGGAAGAUAAAUAAAAAUUUUAAUAAUAUAUGUUAAUAUUAUGAAAAAAAUAAAAAAUGGGACAUCUAUAUGUAUAUUAAUACA